AUAACAAAAGAACUGUUAUGGUUU
RNAcentral lists this small nuclear RNA (24 nucleotides) under Arabidopsis thaliana (thale cress). RNAcentral describes it as "snRNA_06614". The record is from RNAcentral. Lineage: Eukaryota; Viridiplantae; Streptophyta; Magnoliopsida; Brassicales; Brassicaceae.